CUCUCUCUUUUUUUUUUAUAUAAUUUUAGUUUUAUUUUUAUUUGAGUUAAUGACCACACAGACGCAUUUUGGAGAUGGGGGAUCAUAUAUACAACAUACUGUACCUCACUGAAAUGAAAAACUAUUCUAUCCCUUAACCUGUUAGAUGUAGCCAAGAUGAUUUUUGCUGUCUUAGAUACUUGCAAUUAGUUUAUAGCUAGAUUAGUUUAGCUGAAAGUUAAGUAGUUUGCAACCUCAAAAUUAAUGAACUGUACUUCUGCUCUUGGAUGAGGCAGUAAUCUGUGUUUGUUUCACUCGCGCUCUCAAGAGCCUUCUCAGAAAAACAGGGAGGACAAACAGUGUGAAUAAACAUGAGUAAGUGUGAAAUAUGGCAGAAUUUUCAUAAGAAUGGGUUUGAGGAAUAUUUUUAAUUAUGUUUUAAGAGAUUAUGUCAAUUUAGAGUAGCCGUUAGAUUUAGGUAUAUUAGAAACUAAAAUGUUUUCAUUAAGCCUGAUAAAAGGGCAUGUUUACAAUGAGUUAACCUGUUAGAGCUUAGACAUGAAAGCUCUUAAGAGGAGACAGACUAUCAAGUAUUUUCUCAGCUUUGACAGAAACAUGAAACAGAUAAACAGGGUAAGCUGGCAAAAAUCAAAUUAGUUCCUUUAAUUUCUCAUCCUGCCAACUAUCAGGAAGAUGAUGUUUUAGUACUAGCAUAUGAAAGAACAAAAAAUGCAUAAAUAUUUUAAUUUUUAGAAUGUCUCUUUAAUGUUGUGUAUUUCUUUUUGCUUGGCUUUUGGCCAAGUUAGCCAAUUAAGAAGGCCUUUGGAAAUAUAUUUUCAAGUACAGAUCUAAAGUAAUGACAGUAAUAUGAGUGAUUUCUAUCAUAUUCUGGUUCAAACUUCCCUUUCUUAUAUUUUCUUCUAGAGACUGUUAAAGAUAAACAUGCCUAUACAAUCUGGCAAAGUGUAUCAGAAGAAGGUUAUAUAGAAUGCUCUUCAGGCCUUCUGGUGAGCCUGGUUUCUCAGGAAGAGUAUGUGUGUGUUUAUGUAUAUAUUUAUGUAUGCACAUAAAUAUACAUUGUAUGUUUGUAUGUAUGCAUAUGUAUGUAUACAAGUGGCAUAAGUGGUGUCUAAGGCCAAUAAUAAUCAUGAUUCUGUCCUUCUAUUCAUUAAUGUUACUGUAACUCAUGCAUGAAAGAUUGUUAUACGUCCUCAUGCCUAAAUGUGGUAUAUCACUGAAUUUUUAAAACCUAAUAUUCUAAAAGUAGUGACAUAGCCAAACUCUUUGGUUUAUUUAAUCCAAUGUCCUGCCUCUGACUGUACCAGAUGCUUCAGGGGAAGGUGCAAUAAUUUCUUCUGGAAUACUCAUUAUUUUUAGAUGUUAUUGGUUCUGUCAUAUCUAAUAUGAUAACUGAUGUCUCCUUAUAUCUAUGAGAGGCUAAUACAGAAUUAUGAGACAUAGAUAUUUCUUGAAGUAGAAAUUCUAAAAUCAAACCCCAUUUUAAGAUUUGAAUUAGCUGCUCAGAUGUCAUUCUCAUCUCCUGGUCUUGUAUGUUAGAAAGGUAUAAAAAACAGUGAUCCCAAGUUUUCUUUUGUAUGUCAGUGCUUACAUUCUCUAUGUAGAAAUUUACAUAUUGGUUUACAUUUGGCUUAUUUUUUCUUAAGCCAAACAAUCAGUCACAUUCUUGUAUAGGUUCAUAUUCUUUGCCCUUUUCUGAAUCCCUUCUGUUUUUGCUACACUGUUCUUUUACUCAGGUAAACAGAGCUGUGAAUAUUAGUCCAAGUGAAAGCAUGCAUUGGUGUACCUAGCACAGCACCUUUUCCUUUUUAUAUUCUUAGUCAUCUGAAACAUCAUAGAUCUCCAUAUCCUUUGUAAAACUCAAAGUAGCAAGUCUUUUCUUUCUGUCUUCUCUUCCCCAUCAUAUAGAUGAAACUCAACUGUUUAUCUGGGAAAUGGUUAGCACAGCUGUUAAAACAUACCUCUAGCUUGGAGAAGGGAGUCUGACUUAGUUAUUCAAUUAGUUAAUACCUCUUUGUGUACCUAAAGUUCCAGUUAAUUUUCAAGUCCAUUUAUUUUUUCCUUUUGGAUUUCUGUUAUUCUGCCUUAGUGCAGUAUCUUGUUAUUCAUAGAUGCCUGUUCAUCACACAGUAUAAAGGAAUUACAAAAUUGGCUGCUCUAAAUGGGAAAUCCACAAGGAUUUUCCACAAGAAAAAAUCCACAAUAACUUAAUUUCUUUCUUGGCAACAUGAAUACUGUACUCAGCCCAAAGCUUAAAGAUGGUUCAGCCUCAACGAAUAUCGAGACAAAAAUACAUUUUGUAAGUGCUUAAAUUUCCCCAGAAAAUUUACAGUCAGUAAGCAAGGGAAAUAUUUCAAAAAAGAAAUAGGCUUAGAGUAAAAAAUAUGUUCUGUAAGUGUAUGAUAGACACAAAAGGUCUUCAACUUUUUCUCGACAAGAUUGAAAUAUCUUAUAGGAAAGGUUUGAAAUUAAGCUUUAUACAUUUUUCUGUAGUUGAUGAAAGAAGAGGAGGCAUAUCAGAUACAUGAAAUUGUCAGGUAACUGUGGGCUAUUUUGUAUCCAGGCAGAAAGUUUGCUACCUUGUUAGCAUCCUUAGUCUUCAUUAGUCUUGUCAUUCAUCAUUAGUCUUGUCUACUGUGAGGUUGGAUUUGCUUUUAUCUCUUACUCACACUGUUUGAGGGCGCUAAACCACAUUACCCAAGGUGCUUCAGUAUGACAUACUUAUAGAGCAAUAGCUUGCCAAGUAGGUGCCUGAAAGUAUUCUGGAGGGCUAGUGUUUGUAAUAGAGGCUCUAAUACUGUGCCUCAAUAUUAGUAUGGAAGCUUCCAGUACUUUUUCUUUUUGAGCAAGGUAAAUAGCCAUUCUGGACUAUCAUUCUAUGUUGUUCUGUGCUUAGCAUCAUUACUUAGCACUGUAUAAAAUGAAUGUAAAACAUUUUGUACAGAAAACAAUAGCAUUUUGCUGUUGCUUGUGUAGACAAUGACAUAAAUUUAAGGCAGCAGGAAAGCAUGCCCUGUCCUUUAGAAAGAAGGAAAGAUAUUCCAAAAUGUUGCUGAACAACUGUCUAAACACUUAGAAAAUGCAACCAUUUUAUGAAGGUGAUCUUGGUGGGAAUACCCUUAAAGCUUCUCAGAAAGGUAUCAGUGAUUCUUUCAGAUGUGUGUGGGAAUGGAGGUUGUUUCUGUAUGUGUGAAAGUGGCUCUUCUGUGAUGUGAAGUGUAGGUUUAAUGGUUUUUCAGACUUUCAUUCAGAACUAUAACCAAAGCAAUAAAAGGUAUCAGGUAGGGAAUACUGGCCAGUUUUGUUCAACUCUACACCAUGUCAGUGCUGAAUCCAUGUUCAGUUACCUAUGGACCCAAUGCAGAGACUUCACAGAAGAGAGACUGGGGUGAAACCUGAAUGCUUGUGUGUUUAUGAAGAGCACUAACAAAAGAGUAAUUGACUCAGUUGGUGUUCAGAUACUCUCACACUGGCAUUCCUCUGUGCACCUUGGUGUCUCUGUGCUUGAAAGGAGGGGAGUCUCCUUAAGGGCUAAAGAAACAACAUUUCUGGGGUGUAGAUGCCCGUGUGUACUGAUUGUGUGUGUCAUUGUUUAAAUGUCAAAAAUACACUUUAUAGGAGAACCAGCAAAAUUUUGUUACAGUAUGGUGCUCCAUGAAAUAUGCUUUCUUGAUUUCUUUUAUUUUUUCUCAUAUUAUAAUAAACUAUAAACAAAAA
RNAcentral lists this long non-coding RNA (3714 nucleotides) under Gallus gallus (chicken). RNAcentral describes it as "lncRNA (ENSGALG00010007069.1)". The stretch from base 3403 to 3467 matches the Rfam family "Selenocysteine insertion sequence 1". Lineage: Eukaryota; Metazoa; Chordata; Aves; Galliformes; Phasianidae. The record is from RNAcentral.